Molecule: non-coding RNA, 29 nt
Filed under: Mus musculus (house mouse)
Lineage: Eukaryota; Metazoa; Chordata; Mammalia; Rodentia; Muridae
Source: RNAcentral
UCCCCUGCGUCUAUAAGGGUGCUCACCUA